Pseudonaja textilis is the source of this 1540-nucleotide non-coding RNA. NCBI's taxonomy places the organism in Eukaryota, Metazoa, Chordata, Lepidosauria, Squamata, Elapidae. The record is from RefSeq and is a predicted model, not a curated record.
GCCUGCCUGCCUGCCUGUCUGUCUGUCUGUCAACAUGAUCUCUCAUUUUAAUUCCUUCCUGCUGAUGUCUCUGAAUUGUUGUAUUUUCAACACUGUGAAGAUAAUGUUCUGGAAUAGCUGAAAUAUUAAUGUAUUCAAAAGUAACACAUUGGAAAUAAAAAAAUUCUCCAGAUUGUCUCAAAUAAAUGUCCUAUCUUGUUUGUACGGUUAUUGUUGAUUAUUGGAAAGGCAGCAGAAAUAGGUCAAAGGUCAAUAAAUGCUAUAAAUAACUGUUAUACUAUUGUUACCCCAACAUUUUAAAGGAGCAAUUUCCAUUAAUUUUGCUGGAAUAUGAUUCUAUAUGAAUACAUUGAGGCAAUAAUAACAAUUCUCUUAAUUUCUGUAUCAUUCUGCAUGUUGACAUAAUUUCAAGUAUCAAAUUAAAAAAAACCAAAUAAACAAAAGCAGACCUUUCAGUAUCAAUAAUGCCAGAAGGCUGUCCUUUACCAUACAACAAAUGUAAUUUGCUAUAUUACAAUAAAUUCCAUAUAUUAAGAUGGAAAAGAAUUAUACAAGUAUUUUUCAUCACUUGAUAUACACAGAUUAACUCUAAAAUAUCAAUAUGAAAUGUGGCAUUUAUUUGUAUUAUUUCUUAGUCUAUUGCUCCAAUUAAUUGGAUUACAAUUCCUCAAAUGAUAUACAAACUGCUUUCAUAAAUGAUUGUAUUUACAAUGUUCAAGCUACUGAUACGCAUACUGUUUAUUCCUGUAUAACUGAUAUUAUUCCUGCAUAACGUCCACUUAGGACAGAAAUGCAGGUCAGUGGUUUGAAAACUAAACAAACACUACAAAUACUUUAUAGACCUAUUUUAAUCUGCACAUAAAGCUAAUACAUUUCAGUGAUCUCACAGUAACUCCACAGGAUCUUUUUGAAUUCAAUUUCUAAUUCCUGGUGAAACACUGAUGAGCUCUGGGCCAGAAUAUGCACCCCGUUCUUAGCUAGCAAAUUAAAUUGUUAUACAGUAAAUAGCUACCCACAUAUACCCCUACAUGUUGUGUACAGAGUUUUCCUUAGUGAAUCUGGUCACAGAAGUUGUCUUUCUUUUUCUAAAUAGUGCAUUACAGUGCUAUUGAUGUUGCCAAAUGCUGAUGAUGUUGCCUAGUUGGGAAAUCAAACAUCUGCAAGCACAGAGAGCAUCAAAGACUCUACAGUUCAACUACAGAGUCUAUUGAUAUAUUUUUUCAUUAGAAUUAUAUAAAUUUUAUCAAACGAAUACAAUUCCCUUUAUCUUUAUAUAGUACAGUACUGUACUUUUAAAAUUAUCUUUAUAUAUUGCCUUUUCUUUGGAAGAAUGAUAUAGCUUAUAGAAUAAUUCCUUCCUCUCAUUUUCUCCAAGCAACUUUUGAACUAGUUUGAGCUAAAGGUUACCCAGGAAGCCUUUAUGGCUAAAGAUAGAUUGGGUCUCUCUGGUAGCAGUCCAGCCUCUUAAACACUGUCAAUAAAAAUGGCUGUCAUAUUACCAUUCUCCUGGACCCAUAUUAAUACUGAACUUUCAAUUGAA